GUCAGGUUACACUGAGAAGACAGCUAUCUAUGAAUCAGGAAGCAGAGCUUCACCAGAGCACGAAGAAGAGAAAACAGAAAACAUCCAUUGAAUCCUCUGCCUCUGGUAAUGUAUGGCUCCCAGUAUGCCUCCUUCAAGAGCAUGACUGACCCAAUUACUAGUAUGAGCAAAAGGAAGAAACCCCCAAUUGAACUGAUGAAAAACAUAAACAGUGGCAAUGAAUUAUAACCCAGUUAAAACUGGAUCUGAAAGCUGAAUAAAAGACAUGCAAAAGCUAAAAAUGCCUAUGCCUAAUUAAAUCAUUAUUAAUAAAAUAACUGGAUCUAAUUCCAACAAUACGGGUUUUUCUUUUGUAACUAUUUGUUUUCCUAAUUUGGCUCCUAAUAAUAAAUGUUAUUAUAUCACAAAAGAUCACCACCUUUUUAGAAUGUAUCACAAGUAAAUUUAGUACUCUUAAGACCUAGCAAGAAUUAUUUCAAAA
This 481-nucleotide long non-coding RNA is filed under the name Homo sapiens (human). RNAcentral's name for it is "non-protein coding lnc-PRKD1-4:1". The record is from RNAcentral. Lineage: Eukaryota; Metazoa; Chordata; Mammalia; Primates; Hominidae.